This 1039-nucleotide ribosomal RNA is filed under the name Vibrio alginolyticus. RNAcentral's name for it is "bacterial SSU rRNA". It matches the Rfam family "Bacterial small subunit ribosomal RNA", at positions 55 to 1075 of the family's 1533-position model. Lineage: Bacteria; Pseudomonadati; Pseudomonadota; Gammaproteobacteria; Vibrionales; Vibrionaceae. The record is from RNAcentral.
AUGCAGUCGAGCGGAACGAGUUAUCUGAACCUUCGGGGAACGAUAACGGCGUCGAGCGGCGGACGGGUGAGUAAUGCCUAGGAAAUUGCCCUGAUGUGGGGGAUAACCAUUGGAAACGAUGGCUAAUACCGCAUGAUGCCUACGGGCCAAAGAGGGGGACCUUCGGGCCUCUCGCGUCAGGAUAUGCCUAGGUGGGAUUAGCUAGUUGGUGAGGUAAGGGCUCACCAAGGCGACGAUCCCUAGCUGGUCUGAGAGGAUGAUCAGCCACACUGGAACUGAGACACGGUCCAGACUCCUACGGGAGGCAGCAGUGGGGAAUAUUGCACAAUGGGCGCAAGCCUGAUGCAGCCAUGCCGCGUGUGUGAAGAAGGCCUUCGGGUUGUAAAGCACUUUCAGUCGUGAGGAAGGUGGUGUAGUUAAUAGCUGCAUUAUUUGACGUUAGCGACAGAAGAAGCACCGGCUAACUCCGUGCCAGCAGCCGCGGUAAUACGGAGGGUGCGAGCGUUAAUCGGAAUUACUGGGCGUAAAGCGCAUGCAGGUGGUUUGUUAAGUCAGAUGUGAAAGCCCGGGGCUCAACCUCGGAAUUGCAUUUGAAACUGGCAGACUAGAGUACUGUAGAGGGGGGUAGAAUUUCAGGUGUAGCGGUGAAAUGCGUAGAGAUCUGAAGGAAUACCGGUGGCGAAGGCGGCCCCCUGGACAGAUACUGACACUCAGAUGCGAAAGCGUGGGGAGCAAACAGGAUUAGAUACCCUGGUAGUCCACGCCGUAAACGAUGUCUACUUGGAGGUUGUGGCCUUGAGCCGUGGCUUUCGGAGCUAACGCGUUAAGUAGACCGCCUGGGGAGUACGGUCGCAAGAUUAAAACUCAAAUGAAUUGACGGGGGCCCGCACAAGCGGUGGAGCAUGUGGUUUAAUUCGAUGCAACGCGAAGAACCUUACCUACUCUUGACAUCCAGAGAACUUUCCAGAGAUGGAUUGGUGCCUUCGGGAACUCUGAAACAGGUGCUGCAUGGCUGUCGUCAGCUCGUGUUGUGAAAUGU